ACGGAAGGCAGCAGUGGGGAAUAUUGCACAAUGGAGGAAACUCUGAUGCAGCGACGCCGCGUGAGUGAAGAAGUAUUUCGGUAUGUAAAGCUCUAUCAGCAGGAAAGAAAAUGACGGUACCUGACUAAGAAGCCCCGGCUAACUACGUGCCAGCAGCCGCGGUAAUACGUAGGGGGCAAGCGUUAUCCGGAUUUACUGGGUGUAAAGGGAGCGUAGACGGCGAAGCAAGUCUGAAGUGAAAGCUCGGGGCUCAACCCCGGAACUGCUUUGGAAACUGUUUUGCUGGAGUGCAGGAGAGGUAAGCGGAAUUCCUAGUGUAGCGGUGAAAUGCGUAGAUAUUAGGAGGAACACCAGAGGCGAAGGCGGCUUACUGGACUGUAACUGACGUUGAGGCUCGAAGGCGUGGGGAGCAAACAGGAUUAGAUACCCUGGUA
Molecule: ribosomal RNA, 434 nt
Filed under: uncultured Lachnospiraceae bacterium
Lineage: Bacteria; Bacillati; Bacillota; Clostridia; Lachnospirales; Lachnospiraceae
Description: bacterial SSU rRNA
Rfam family: Bacterial small subunit ribosomal RNA
Source: RNAcentral